AAUUGGCAACAGGAUUGGCAAUGGCAAUGUGAAUAGAAAUAGUAGGAAUAG
RNAcentral lists this small RNA (51 nucleotides) under Chaetoceros affinis. RNAcentral describes it as "partial Mitochondrion-encoded tmRNA". The record is from RNAcentral. Lineage: Eukaryota; Bacillariophyta; Thalassiosirophyceae; Chaetocerotales; Chaetocerotaceae.